UACGGAGGGUGCAAGCGUUAUCCGGAUUCACUGGGUUUAAAGGGUGCGUAGGUGGGUCUGUAAGUCAGUGGUGAAAUCUCCGGGCUCAACCCGGAAACUGCCAUUGAUACUACAGGUCUUGAAUUUUCUGGAGGAUAGCGGAAUAUGUCAUGUAGCGGUGAAAUGCUUAGAUAUGACAUAGAACACCAAUUGCGCAGGCAGCUAUCUGCAGGGAUAUUGACACUGAGGCACGAAAGCGUGGGGAUCAAACAGG
RNAcentral lists this ribosomal RNA (253 nucleotides) under uncultured bacterium. RNAcentral describes it as "partial 16S ribosomal RNA". It matches the Rfam family "Bacterial small subunit ribosomal RNA", at positions 524 to 776 of the family's 1533-position model. The record is from RNAcentral.